RNAcentral lists this ribosomal RNA (373 nucleotides) under uncultured bacterium. Its description in RNAcentral is "bacterial SSU rRNA". It matches the Rfam family "Bacterial small subunit ribosomal RNA", at positions 525 to 896 of the family's 1533-position model. The record is from RNAcentral.
ACAGAGGUGGCAAGCGUUGUUCGGAAUUACUGGGCGUAAAGGGCGCGUAGGCGGCCUCCUAAGUCAGACGUGAAAUCCCCCGGCUUAACCUGGGAACUGCGUCUGAUACUGGAAGGCUUGAGUAUGGGAGAGGGAUGUAGAAUUCCAGGUGUAGCGGUGAAAUGCGUAGAUAUCUGGAGGAAUACCGGUGGCGAAGGCGGCAUCCUGGACCAUUACUGACGCUGAGGCGCGAAAGCUAGGGGAGCAAACGGGAUUAGAUACCCCGGUAGUCCUAGCCCUAAACGAUGAAUACUUGGUGUGGCGGGUAUCGAUCCCUGCCGUGCCGAAGCUAACGCAUUAAGUAUUCCGCCUGGGGAGUACGGUCGCAAGGCUG